Molecule: ribosomal RNA, 488 nt
Filed under: uncultured bacterium
Lineage: Bacteria
Description: partial 16S ribosomal RNA
Rfam family: Bacterial small subunit ribosomal RNA
Source: RNAcentral
AUUGAACGCUGGCGGCAGGCCUAACACAUGCCAGUCGAACGGUAGCACAGAGAGCUUGCUCUCGGGUGACGAGUGGCGGACGGGUGAGUAAUGUCUGGGAAACUGCCCGAUGGAGGGGGAUAACUACUGGAAACGGUAGCUAAUACCGCAUAAUGUCGCAAGACCAAAGAGGGGGACCUUCGGGCCUCUUGCCAUCGGAUGUGCCCAGAUGGGAUUAGCUUGUUGGUGAGGUAAUGGCUCACCAAGGCGACGAUCCCUAGCUGGUCUGAGAGGAUGACCAGCCACACUGGAACUGAGACACGGUCCAGACUCCUACGGGAGGCAGCAGUGGGGAAUAUUGCACAAUGGGCGCAAGCCUGAUGCAGCCAUGCCGCGUGUGUGAAGAAGGCCUUCGGGUUGUAAAGCACUUUCAGCGGGGAGGAAGGCAAUGCGGUUAAUAACCGUGUUGAUUGACGUUACCCGCAGAAGAAGCACCGGCUAACUCCGUG